UGUGACAUACCUAUACGUUGCCUCGGCGGAUCAGCCCGCGCCCCGUAAAAAGGGACGGCCCGCCCGAGGACCCCUAAACUCUGUUUUUAGUGGAACUUCUGAGUAAAACAAACAAAUAAAUCAAAACUUUCAACAACGGAUCUCUUGGUUCUGGCAUCGAUGAAGAACGCAGCAAAAUGCGAUAAGUAAUGUGAAUUGCAGAAUUCAGUGAAUCAUCGAAUCUUUGAACGCACAUUGCGCCCGCCAGUAUUCUGGCGGGCAUGCCUGUUCGAGCGUCAUUUCAACCCUCAAGCUCAGCUUGGUGUUGGGACUCGCGGUAACCCGCGUUCCCCAAAUCGAUUGGCGGUCACGUCGAGCUUCCAUAGCGUAGUAAUCAUACACCUCGUUACUGGUAAUCGUCGCGGCCACGCCGUAAAACCCCAACUUCUGAAUGUUGACCUCGGAUCAGGUAGGAAUACCCGCUGAACUUAAGCAUAUCAAUA
This 482-nucleotide ribosomal RNA is filed under the name Fusarium chlamydosporum. Its description in RNAcentral is "eukaryotic LSU rRNA". The stretch from base 125 to 278 matches the Rfam family "5.8S ribosomal RNA". The record is from RNAcentral. Lineage: Eukaryota; Fungi; Ascomycota; Sordariomycetes; Hypocreales; Nectriaceae.